GUUAGCUAGCUCUCUGCAACUUUCACAUGGUCACAUGCCUUCACAAGCUAAGCAGGGGUGCACCUGGUCAGUACCUGGAUGGGAGACCGCAUGGGAAAGCUAGGUUGCUGCCG
RNAcentral lists this ribosomal RNA (113 nucleotides) under Danio rerio (zebrafish). Lineage: Eukaryota; Metazoa; Chordata; Actinopteri; Cypriniformes; Danionidae. The record is from RNAcentral.